GGGGCAUUAGCACAGUUGGCUAGCGCGCUACAUUCGCAUUGUAGAGGUCACCGGUUCGAAUCCGGUAUGCUCCACCA
This 77-nucleotide transfer RNA is filed under the name Clostridiales bacterium. Its description in RNAcentral is "tRNA-Ala". It matches the Rfam family "tRNA". From Rfam's summary of the family: Transfer RNA (tRNA) molecules are approximately 80 nucleotides in length. Their secondary structure includes four short double-helical elements and three loops (D, anti-codon, and T loops). RNAcentral also lists the same sequence under 4 other names. The record is from RNAcentral. Lineage: Bacteria; Bacillati; Bacillota; Clostridia; Eubacteriales.